GCAAGUGCCAAAUGGAGCAGGAAAGAGACCUCAGCCUGGGUAUAGUUGGGCACCAGCAUUUAACAGGCCCAGAUGGAGUACAAAUGACUCAGGUAUGGAGCUGUGAUUUGCCUUUCUCAAAGGGCUAGGACUCUUUUGGAUUCAAGUUCUCGUGCACAGAAAAGCAAGUACAUUUAAUGAGCUGAGUUCACUCCUGGGUCACACCAGCGCAGAAGGACAAGACCUCCAUUGCUGGAAAGACCACCCAGAGAGGAGGAAGCUGCACUUGCCCAGGAAGGAGCAUACCAGAAAUCAUCUGGGAGAAAACACUG
This is a long non-coding RNA of Lonchura striata (white-rumped munia), 311 nucleotides long. RefSeq lists it as uncharacterized. The record is from RefSeq and is a predicted model, not a curated record. Lineage: Eukaryota; Metazoa; Chordata; Aves; Passeriformes; Estrildidae.